This is a non-coding RNA of Danio rerio (zebrafish), 73 nucleotides long. The record is from Rfam. Lineage: Eukaryota; Metazoa; Chordata; Actinopteri; Cypriniformes; Danionidae.
GCCCGGCUAGCUCAGUCGGUAGAGCAUGAGACUCUUAAUGUCAGGGUAGUGGGUUCGAGCCCCUCGAUGGGCG